UUAAAGUCUAACCUGCCCACUGAAAUUUUUAAAUGGCCGCAGUAUUCUAACUGUGCAAAGGUAGCAUAAUCAUUAGUCUUUUAAUUGAAGGCUGGAAUGAAUGGUUGGACGAGAUAUUAACUGUUUCAUUUAAAAUUUUUAUAGAAUUUUAUUUUUUAGUCAAAAAGCUAAAAUAAAAUUAAAAGACGAGAAGACCCUAUAAAUCUUUAUAUUUUAUUUAUUUUAAUUAUAAAGAUUAAUUUUAUUAUAAUAAUUUAAAAUAUUUUAUUGGGGUGAUAUUAAAAUUUAAAAAACUUUUAAUUUUUAAAACCAUUAAUUUAUGAGUAAUUGAUCCAUUAAUAGUGAUUAUAAAAUUAAGUUACUUUAGGGAUAACAGCGUAAUUUUUUUGGAGAGUUCAUAUCGAUAAAAAAGAUUGCGACCUCGAUGUUGGAUUAAGAUAUAAUUUUGGGUGUAGCCGUUCAAAUUUUAAGUCUGUUCGACUUUUAAAUUCUUACAUGAUCUGAGUUCAAACCGGCGUAAGCCAGGUUGGUUUCUAUCUUUAAUAAAUAGUAAUAUUUUAGUACGAAAGGACCAAAUAUUAAAAUAAUUAUAUUUUUAAAAAGAAUAUUUUUAAUAUAA
RNAcentral lists this ribosomal RNA (619 nucleotides) under Drosophila micromelanica. RNAcentral's name for it is "partial 16S ribosomal RNA". It matches the Rfam family "Bacterial large subunit ribosomal RNA", at positions 1895 to 2761 of the family's 2925-position model. Lineage: Eukaryota; Metazoa; Arthropoda; Insecta; Diptera; Drosophilidae. The record is from RNAcentral.